UUCGGGUCUAGUGGCGCACGGGUGCGUAACGCGUGGGAAUCUGCCCUUGGGUUCGGAAUAACAGUUGGAAGCGACUGCUAAUACCGGAUGAUGACGUAAGUCCAAAGAUUUAUCGCCCAAGGAUGAGCCCGCGUAGGAUUAGCUAGUUGGUGGGGUAAAGGCCUACCAAGGCGACGAUCCUUAGCUGGUCUGAGAGGAUGAUCAGCCACACUGGGACUGAGAUACGGCCCAGACUCC
This 237-nucleotide ribosomal RNA is filed under the name uncultured bacterium. RNAcentral's name for it is "partial 16S ribosomal RNA". It matches the Rfam family "Bacterial small subunit ribosomal RNA", at positions 85 to 339 of the family's 1533-position model. The record is from RNAcentral.